UACGUAGGGAGCGAGCGUUACUCGGAAUCACUGGGCAUAAAGGGCGUGUAGGCGGGUGCGCAAGUCCGGUGUGAAAGCCCUCGGCUCAACUGGGGAAUGCCAUCGGAUACUGCGUGCCUUGAGUAUGGGAGGGGAGAGUGGAACUCUUGGUGGAGCGGUGAAAUGCGUAGAUAUCAAGAGGAACGCCGGUGGCGAAAGCGGCUCUCUGGUCCAUUACUGACGCUGAGGCGCGAAAGCUAGGGGAGCAAACGGG
This 253-nucleotide ribosomal RNA is filed under the name uncultured bacterium. Its description in RNAcentral is "partial 16S ribosomal RNA". It matches the Rfam family "Bacterial small subunit ribosomal RNA", at positions 524 to 776 of the family's 1533-position model. The record is from RNAcentral.